RNAcentral lists this ribosomal RNA (579 nucleotides) under uncultured bacterium. RNAcentral's name for it is "partial 16S ribosomal RNA". It matches the Rfam family "Bacterial small subunit ribosomal RNA", at positions 355 to 932 of the family's 1533-position model. The record is from RNAcentral.
UGGGGAAUUUUGGACAAUGGGCGAAAGCCUGAUCCAGCAAUGCCGCGUGUGUGAAGAAGGCCUUCGGGUUGUAAAGCACUUUUGUCCGGAAAGAAAUCCUUGGCUCUAAUACAGUCGGGGGAUGACGGUACCGGAAGAAUAAGCACCGGCUAACUACGUGCCAGCAGCCGCGGUAAUACGCAGGGUGCAAGCGUUAAUCGGAAUUACUGGGCGUAAAGCGUGCGCAGGCGGUUUGCUAAGACCGAUGUGAAAUCCCCGGGCUCAACCUGGGAACUGCAUUGGUGACUGGCAGGCUAGAGUAUGGCAGAGGGGGGUAGAAUUCCACGUGUAGCAGUGAAAUGCGUAGAGAUGUGGAGGAAUACCGAUGGCGAAGGCAGCCCCCUGGGCCAAUACUGACGCUCAUGCACGAAAGCGUGGGGAGCAAACAGGAUUAGAUACCCUGGUAGUCCACGCCCUAAACGAUGUCAACUAGUUGUUGGGGAUUCAUUUCCUUAGUAACGUAGCUAACGCGUGAAGUUGACCGCCUGGGGAGUACGGUCGCAAGAUUAAAACUUAAAUGAAUUGACGGGGUCAUAGCUG